Molecule: unclassified non-coding RNA, 335 nt
Filed under: soil metagenome
Description: partial contains 5.8S ribosomal RNA, internal transcribed spacer 2, and large subunit ribosomal RNA
Rfam family: 5.8S ribosomal RNA (bases 4-119)
Source: RNAcentral
GAUAAGAACGUAGCGAAAUGCGAUAAGUAAUGUGAAUUGCAGAAUUCAGUGAAUCAUCGAAUCUUUGAACGCACAUUGCGCCCGCCAGUAUUCUGGCGGGCAUGCCUGUUCGAGCGUCAUUUCAACCAUCAAGCCCCAGGCUUGUGUUGGGGACCUGCGGCUGCCGCAGGCCCUGAAAACCAGUGGCGGGCUCGCUGUCACACCGGGCGUAGUAGAUUUUAUCUCGCUCAGGGCGUGCUGCGGGUUCCGGCCGUUAAAAAGCCUUUUUUACCCAAGGUUGACCUCGGAUCAGGUAGGAAGACCCGCUGAACUUAAGCAUAUCAAUAAGCGGAGGA